GUGAGUCGGUGACAAAAAUAAGUGUUAAAUGUAAUUAUUUUUGUUUGCCUUUUGUGUUUUUGCUACACAUCUUCAUCCGCUCUUGGUACUGCAUGUUUAAAAGAUUGUGUGCAUUUUUCGAUCUUGUUACUGUCUCACACACCUCACAUCGACCACGUUUUUUCAGGUUAAAUUGCUGAACUGUUUCUUUUUUUUUUUUUCCUUUUUUUUCUUUUUUUUUCCGGCUGAGAUAAUUUUGCCAUGCUGGCAAACAUUUUGGUGCAUUGAUGUGAUGUCUCAGGCAAGCUAUGAAAACAUGUUUCAGGUAACUCAUUUGAACCAAUUUAAUGUUGUACAAGUGUGUGUUUGUUUAGUUAGUUUGGAAUUAUCAUACAGUAUUUUUAUGUCUGUUGUAUUUCUCUGUAGACUGCACUGAUGCAGACUGUAGGUAAUGGCUUGGCAUAUGACUGAUACAUGCUUGUUUGUUCAUACUCAUUUUCAAAGGUAAGUAGUAAUAGUUCUGUAUUUCUGUUUAAAAUACUAAUUUUACAUUCAAUAAGCUUUGAAUCAUUGUUGAGAUGAAAAGAUGAUGUAGUUAAAUGAGUUAGGAUAUAUUUUGAUUGAUUAUUUCUGAUGUUUAUAUUUCUAGUUGAAAACUGAUUGAUCAUUGUCACCAGUGAGCAAGUAAAUGACAGCCCAUUACCAAAGCAACCAAAAAUGGAAUGCAUUAUCCAUUGCUCUGAUGACACAGAUAAGCUGGUUUCACUUCAAAGUGUUCACUCCUGGAGAACUCUUCUCAGGGCAGCUCAGAUACCGAAGCAUGCACCAGUUUUAGAAAUGGCAAACUGUUCUGCACAAAAAGGGGAGAAAUCGAGUCCAGCCAGCUGCCACCAUGUAGAGAUUGUCUCUACAUGCAUAUUAAACAGGCAAACUACCAGGCAGAAAUCUGGAACCGCUGUCUACAAGCUUCUCCUGUUGUGCCAAGCCCUGUGCUUCAUGGAUG
Non-coding RNA from Xyrichtys novacula (pearly razorfish), 982 nucleotides. NCBI's taxonomy places the organism in Eukaryota, Metazoa, Chordata, Actinopteri, Labriformes, Labridae. The record is from the annotation of a GenBank genome assembly.